AAUCUGGUACUUUUCCAUUUAGAAGGAGCGGUGAGGACUCAGAGAGACAGAAGAUUCCCGUAUUGUGCCAAAGCUAGAAAAGCGGGUGGAGCAGGACAGAGAGGGCGGCCAAUCAUGUGAAAACCCCUAGUUAACACCUAAGAUGUCUGCUGGAACUGACAAGGGCUGUACCAGGGGAAAGGAUUGGGCCCAGACUAGGAAGGAGUCUAGUCUGUGAAAGAAGCUGAUUGGAACAUCUCAGACGGAGGAGAAGGAAAGAGAGAGGCAGCAAGCCCUGGAGUUAAAAGACAAAGAAAUUGAGACCCAGAAACAGGCUCAAAAUGAAGCACAAAAAGCUGCCCACCAGCAAACCCUGGACUUAAGACAAAGAAAUUGAGGCCCAGAGACAAGCCCAAAUUGUGAUCCAGAAACAUGAACUGGCUGUAAUGGAGUGGAAGAGACAUAACCACUCCCAUUUAUGGAUUUUUGAGGAAGCAGAGCCAGCUGCUGAAGGGUUAUGUCCAUCAUGUGAUGAAUCCAGUGAUAUUGCCAAAUAUUUCAUCACCUUUGAGAGACUCUGCACUCUCCAUGCAAUUCCUGAGGAUUAAAAAAUUACUACUUUGGUUGCAAAAUUGACUGGGAGAGCUCUGGACGUAUUCAAUAAUUGCUGAUGCUUCAAACUAUGGUAAAUUUAAGGAACUGGUUUUGAAACAGUUCCAGAUUACACCUGAAUCCUACAGGGUAAAAUUCAGGAGUUUUAAGAGGGGAUCUGGAUUACGUAAUGUGGCCUAUGUAAGUGAAAUGAGAGAUUUGUUAGACAAGUGGGUGAGGGGAAAAGGUAUUACAAGCUUUGAAGAAA
Chelonoidis abingdonii (Abingdon island giant tortoise) is the source of this 838-nucleotide long non-coding RNA. RefSeq lists it as uncharacterized. The record is from RefSeq and is a predicted model, not a curated record. Lineage: Eukaryota; Metazoa; Chordata; Testudines; Testudinidae.